UUACCCAAUCCCGAUUCGGGGAGGUAGUGACAAUAAAUAACAAUACAGGGCCAACGGUCUUGUUAUUGGAAUGAGAACAAUUUAAAUAACUUAACGAGGAUCAAUUAGAGGGCAAGUCUGGUGCCAGCAGCCGCGGUAAUUCCAGCUCUAAUAGCGUAUAUUAAAGUUGUUGCAGUUAAAAAGCUCGUAGUCGGAUGUCGGGCUCGGGCAGGCUGUCGGCUUCGGUCGGACGGCAGGCUCGGGUCUUUCUGCCUGAGGAUCCCGUCACUUGAUUGUGGCGGGGGACGCAGGCCGUUUACUUUGAAAAAAUUAGAGUGUUCAAAGCAGGCCUACGCUUGAAUACAUUAGCAUGGAAUAAUGGAAUAGGACUUUGGUGCUAUUUUGUUGGUUUAUGGGACCGAAGUAAUGAUUAACAGGGACAGUUGGGGCCGUUUAUAUUUCGUUGUCAGAGGUGAAAUUCUUGGAUUUACGAAAGAUAAACUUCUGCGAAAGCAUUCGGCAAGGAUGUUUUCAUUGAUCAAGAGCGAAAGUUAGGGGAUCGAAGACGAUCAGAUACCGUCGUAGUCUUAACCAUAAACUAUGCCGACUAGGGAUCAGUGGAUGUCAAUUUGCGACUCCAUUGGCACCUUGUGAGAAAUCAAAGUUUUUGGGUUCCGGGGGGAAUAUGGUCGCAAGGCUGGAACUUAAAGGAAUUGACGGAAGGGCACCACCAGGAGUGGAGCCUGCGGCUUAAUUUGACUCAACACGGGGAAACUUACCAGGUCCAGACAUAGUAAGGAUUGACAGAUUGAAAGCUCUUUCUUGAUUCUAUGGGUGGUGGUG
This 822-nucleotide ribosomal RNA is filed under the name uncultured marine cryptophyte. RNAcentral describes it as "SSU rRNA". It matches the Rfam family "Eukaryotic small subunit ribosomal RNA", at positions 441 to 1282 of the family's 1831-position model. Lineage: Eukaryota; Cryptophyceae. The record is from RNAcentral.